ACGCUCGACACCUACUGGAGGCAGCAGUGGGGAAUAUUGCACAAUGGGGGAAACCCUGAUGCAGCGACGCCGCGUGGAGGAAGAAGGUCUUCGGAUUGUAAACUCCUGUUGUUGGGGAAAAAGNGGAUGGUACCCAACAAGGAAGUGACGGCUAACUACGUGGCAGCAGCCGCGGUAAUCUGAGCGGGCUGGCAAGGC
This 198-nucleotide ribosomal RNA is filed under the name uncultured bacterium. RNAcentral describes it as "partial 16S ribosomal RNA". It matches the Rfam family "Bacterial small subunit ribosomal RNA", at positions 328 to 539 of the family's 1533-position model. The record is from RNAcentral.